CGAGCGCAAAGCCAAGAAACUCAUUCGGGAGGCAGGGAACAGCUUUGUCAGGCACAAUGCCCGCCAGCUGACCCGCGUGUACCCGCUGGGGCUGCGGAUGAACUCAGCCAACUACAGUCCCCAGGAGAUGUGGAACUCGGGCUGUCAGCUGGACGCCAGGCUACGAGAUGGACCUCAAUGCCGGGCGCUUCCUAGUCAAUGGGCAGUGUGGCUACGUCCUAAAACCUGCCUGCCUGCGGCAACCUGACUCGACCUUUGACCCUGAGUACCCGGGACCUCCCAGAACCACUCUCAGCAUCCAGGUGCUGACUGCACAGCAGCUACCCAAGCUGAAUGCCGAGAAGCCACACUCCAUUGUGGACCCCCUGGUGCGCGUUGAGAUCCAUGGGGUGCCCGCAGACUGUGCCCGGCAGGAGACUGACUACGUGCUCAACAAUGGCUUCAACCCCCGCUGGGGGCAGACCCUGCAGUUCCAGCUGCGGGCUCCGGAGCUGGCACUGGUCCGGUUUGUGGUAGAAGAUUAUGACGCCACCUCCCCCAAUGACUUUGUGGGCCAGUUUACACUGCCUCUUAGCAGCCUAAAGCAAGGGUACCGCCACAUACACCUGCUUUCCAAGGACGGGGCCUCACUGUCACCAGCCACGCUCUUCAUCCAAAUCCGCAUCCAGUGCUCCUGAGGGCCCAGCUCACUCGCCUUGGGGUUCUGCGAGUGCCAGUCCACAUCCCCUGCAGAGCCCUCUCCUCCUCUGGAGUCAGGUGGUGGGAGUACCAGCCCCCCAGCCCACCCACUUGGCCCACUCAGCCCAUUCACCAGGCGCUGGUCUCACCUGGGUGCUGAGGGCUGCCUGGGCCCCUCCUGAAGAACAGAAA
This 870-nucleotide small RNA is filed under the name Pan troglodytes (chimpanzee). RNAcentral's name for it is "processed transcript". The record is from RNAcentral. Lineage: Eukaryota; Metazoa; Chordata; Mammalia; Primates; Hominidae.